Molecule: ribosomal RNA, 251 nt
Filed under: uncultured bacterium
Lineage: Bacteria
Description: partial 16S ribosomal RNA
Rfam family: Bacterial small subunit ribosomal RNA
Source: RNAcentral
GACGGGGGGGGCAAGUGUUCUUCGGAAUGACUGGGCGUCAAGGGCACGUAGGCGGUGAAUCGGGUUGAAAGCGAAAGUCGCCAAAAAGUGGCGGAAUGCUCUCGAAACCAAUUCACUUGAGUGGGACAGAGGAGAGUGGAAUUUCGUGUGUAGGGGUGAAAUCCGUAGAUCUACGAAGGAAGGCCAAAAGCGAAGGCAGCUCUCUGGGUCCCUACCGACGCUGGGGUGCGAAAGCAUGGGGAGCGAACAGG